Molecule: transfer RNA, 72 nt
Filed under: bacterium
Lineage: Bacteria
Also listed under: 1 other name
Description: tRNA-Asn
Rfam family: tRNA
About the family: Transfer RNA (tRNA) molecules are approximately 80 nucleotides in length. Their secondary structure includes four short double-helical elements and three loops (D, anti-codon, and T loops).
Source: RNAcentral
UCCCCGAUAGCUCAAUGGUAGAGCACUUGACUGUUAAUCAAGGUGUUGCUGGUUCGAGUCCAGCUCGGGGAG